AGGACAUGUCAACAAAGCCUUCAUCGAGAGCGGUAGAGUCGAAAAGGGAGCAAAGAAUAGCAAAGGAUGCAGUAGAGCCCAUAGUAAUGAAGAUAAACCCAAAGCAACGAGAUGAAAACAAAACACCAAUCGCAGACA
Ipomoea nil (Japanese morning glory) is the source of this 138-nucleotide long non-coding RNA. RefSeq lists it as uncharacterized. NCBI's taxonomy places the organism in Eukaryota, Viridiplantae, Streptophyta, Magnoliopsida, Solanales, Convolvulaceae. The record is from RefSeq and is a predicted model, not a curated record. The transcript has 3 exons.